This 548-nucleotide ribosomal RNA is filed under the name Priestia megaterium. RNAcentral describes it as "bacterial SSU rRNA". It matches the Rfam family "Bacterial small subunit ribosomal RNA", at positions 54 to 583 of the family's 1533-position model. The record is from RNAcentral. Lineage: Bacteria; Bacillati; Bacillota; Bacilli; Caryophanales; Bacillaceae.
CAUGCAAGUCGAGCGAACUGAUUAGAAGCUUGCUUCUAUGACGUUAGCGGCGGACGGGUGAGUAACACGUGGGCAACCUGCCUGUAAGACUGGGAUAACUUCGGGAAACCGAAGCUAAUACCGGAUAGGAUCUUCUCCUUCAUGGGAGAUGAUUGAAAGAUGGUUUCGGCUAUCACUUACAGAUGGGCCCGCGGUGCAUUAGCUAGUUGGUGAGGUAACGGCUCACCAAGGCAACGAUGCAUAGCCGACCUGAGAGGGUGAUCGGCCACACUGGGACUGAGACACGGCCCAGACUCCUACGGGAGGCAGCAGUAGGGAAUCUUCCGCAAUGGACGAAAGUCUGACGGAGCAACGCCGCGUGAGUGAUGAAGGCUUUCGGGUCGUAAAACUCUGUUGUUAGGGAAGAACAAGUACAAGAGUAACUGCUCGUACCUUGACGGUACCUAACCAGAAAGCCACGGCUAACUACGUGCCAGCAGCCGCGGUAAUACGUAGGUGGCAAGCGUUAUCCGGAAUUAUUGGGCGUAAAGCGCGCGCAGGCGGUUUCU